GCCUAACACAUGCAAGUCGAACGAAGUAGCAAUACUUAGUGGCAGACGGGUGAGUAACAUGUGGGUAUCUGCCCUUUGGCCUGGAAUAACACGAGGAAACUUGUGCUAAUACUGGAUAAGUCUUUACGGAGAAAGCUUUAUGCACCAUUGGAUGAGCCUGCACUUGAUUAGUUUGUUGGUGGGGUAAUGGCCUACCAAGACUGUGAUCAAUAGCUGAUUUGAGAGGAUGAUCAGCCACAUUGGGACUGAGACACGGCCCAAACUCCUACGGGAGGCAGCAGUGGGGAAUCUUGCACAAUGGAGGAAACUCUGAUGCAGCGAUGCCGCGUGAGUGAAGAAGGCCUUUGGGUUGUAAAGCUCUUUCGUCGGGGAAGAAAAUGACUGUACCCGAAUAAGAAGGUCCGGC
Molecule: ribosomal RNA, 406 nt
Filed under: uncultured bacterium
Lineage: Bacteria
Description: bacterial SSU rRNA
Rfam family: Bacterial small subunit ribosomal RNA
Source: RNAcentral